Molecule: non-coding RNA, 28 nt
Filed under: Mus musculus (house mouse)
Lineage: Eukaryota; Metazoa; Chordata; Mammalia; Rodentia; Muridae
Source: RNAcentral
UGCAUCUUUACCAUUUGGGGGACCUAUC